UGUGUAUGUGUUUUAAACAGAGCUGUAUAACAUCUGUUUGGCAAGAGCCAAAGAAAAGUGGAAUGCCUUUGUAGCCCCAACGGCUGCUGCAGAAACGGAGAGUGAAGAUGCAGGCUUGUCUCAUGCUGAUCGAGAGGCCAGUCUAGAACUGAUCAAGUUAGACAUUUCCAGAACCUUUCCCAAUCUCUGUAUUUUCCAACAGGGAGGCCCAUACCAUGAUGUAUUGCACAGCAUUCUGGGAGCUUACACUUGCUAUCGUCCUGAUGUGGGAUAUGU
Long non-coding RNA from Sinocyclocheilus rhinocerous, 276 nucleotides. RefSeq lists it as uncharacterized. NCBI's taxonomy places the organism in Eukaryota, Metazoa, Chordata, Actinopteri, Cypriniformes, Cyprinidae. The record is from RefSeq and is a predicted model, not a curated record. The transcript has 3 exons.